RNAcentral lists this ribosomal RNA (466 nucleotides) under uncultured bacterium. RNAcentral describes it as "partial 16S ribosomal RNA". It matches the Rfam family "Bacterial small subunit ribosomal RNA", at positions 28 to 507 of the family's 1533-position model. The record is from RNAcentral.
GACGAACGCUGGCGGCGUGCUUAACACAUGCAAGUCGAACGGAAAGGCCUCUUUCGGGGGGUACUCGCGUGGCGAACGGGUGAGUAACACGUGAGUAACCUGCCCUUGACUUUGGGAUAACUUCAGGAAACUGGGGCUAAUACCGGAUAGGAGCUCCUGCUGCAUGGUGGGGGUUGGAAAGUUUCGGCGGUUGGGGAUGGACUCGCGGCUUAUCAGCUUGUUGGUGGGGUAGUGGCUUACCAAGGCUUUGACGGGUAGCCGGCCUGAGAGGGUGACCGGCCACAUUGGGACUGAGAUACGGCCCAGACUCCUACGGGAGGCAGCAGUGGGGAAUAUUGCACAAUGGGCGGAAGCCUGAUGCAGCAACGCCGCGUGCGGGAUGACGGCCUUCGGGUUGUAAACCGCUUUCGCCUGUGACGAAGCGUGAGUGACGGUAAUGGGUAAAGAAGCACCGGCUAACUACGUG